GCCUUUGUGCUUUCUUCUCAAGUUCUUUGUUCAUUUAACAAAGAAACAAGCACUAGUGUUUGCAUUGACUAAGUGUUGUUCAAAGCAACUAUUAUUUCUUCAUACAACAAUUUGUAAGUGAAGAACUAAUAACACUAAAAGUGUCCUUGUCAUUAUGCUAAUCUUCGUAAGUUCCUUUGUUCAUUUAACAAAGGAUUAAGCAUUGGUUGUUUGUGUUUGUCCUCUUCAUGAUAGACUUUUCUAACAUGUUCUUCCAAUGAUA
Molecule: long non-coding RNA, 262 nt
Filed under: Malus domestica (apple)
Lineage: Eukaryota; Viridiplantae; Streptophyta; Magnoliopsida; Rosales; Rosaceae
Description: long non-coding RNA (MDOM_LNC004509)
Source: RNAcentral